RNAcentral lists this ribosomal RNA (904 nucleotides) under uncultured archaeon. RNAcentral's name for it is "bacterial SSU rRNA". It matches the Rfam family "Archaeal small subunit ribosomal RNA", at positions 21 to 903 of the family's 1478-position model. The record is from RNAcentral.
CCCUACUGCUAUCGGGGUGGGACUAAGACAUGCUAGUCGAGCGCCUUGAGCUAUGGCGAGGCGCGGCGUACAGCUCAGUAACACGUGGCUAACCUACCCUUAGGACGGAGACAACCCCGGGAAACUGGGGCUAAUAUCUGAUAGGUGAGGAGGCCUGGAAUGGUUCUUCGCUGAAAAGGCGUUGAAACCAUGCUUUUCAGCGUCGCCUAAGGAUGGGGCCGCGCCCGAUCAGGUUGUUGGUGGGGUAACGGCUCACCAAGCCUAUAACCGGUACGGGCCGUGAGAGCGGGAGCCCGGAGAUGGGCACUGAGACAAGGGCCCAGGCCCUACGGGGCGCAGCAGUCGCGAAAACUCCGCAAUGCGCGAAAGCGUGACGGGGCUACCCCGAGUGCCGUCCGCUGAGGAUGGCUUUUCCCCGGUGUAAUGAGCCGGGGGAAUAAGGAGAGGGCAAGUCUGGUGUCAGCCGCCGCGGUAAUACCAGCUCUCCGAGUGGUAGGGACGAUUAUUGGGCUUAAAGCGUCCGUAGCCGGCUUAGCAAGUCUUCUGUUAAAUUCAGCGACCUAAUCGUUGAGCCGCGGGAGAUACUACUAGGCUAGGAGGCGGGAGAGGCCGACGGUAUUCUCGGGGUAGGGGUGAAAUCCUAUAAUCCCGGGAGGACCACCAGUGGCGAAGGCUGUCGGCUAGAACGCGCUCGACGGUGAGGGACGAAAGCUGGGGGAGCGAACCGGAUUAGAUACCCGGGUAGUCCCAGCUGUAAACGAUGCGGGCUAGGUGUUGGGGUGGCUACGAGCCACUUCAGUGCCGCAGGGAAGCCAUUAAGCCCGCCGCCUGGGGAGUACGGCCGCAAGGCUGAAACUUAAAGGAAUUGGCGGGGGAGCACCACAAGGCGUGAAGCUUGCGGUUC